RNAcentral lists this ribosomal RNA (550 nucleotides) under uncultured bacterium. Its description in RNAcentral is "bacterial SSU rRNA". It matches the Rfam family "Bacterial small subunit ribosomal RNA", at positions 355 to 896 of the family's 1533-position model. The record is from RNAcentral.
UAGGGANUCUUCGGCAAUGGGGGCAACCCUGACCGAGCAACGCCGCGUGAGUGAAGAAGGUUUUCGGAUCGUAAAGCUCUGUUGUAAGAGAAGAACGAGUGUGAGAGUGGAAAGUUCACACUGUGACGGUAACUUACCAGAAAGGGACGGCUAACUACGUGCCAGCAGCCGCGGUAAUACGUAGGUCCCGAGCGUUAUCCGGAUUUAUUGGGCGUAAAGCGAGCGCAGGCGGUUAGAUAAGUCUGAAGUUAAAGGCUGUGGCUUAACCAUAGUACGCUUUGGAAACUGUUUAACUUGAGUGCAGAAGGGGAGAGUGGAAUUCCAUGUGUAGCGGUGAAAUGCGUAGAUAUAUGGAGGAACACCGGUGGCGAAAGCGGCUCUCUGGUCUGUAACUGACGCUGAGGCUCGAAAGCGUGGGGAGCAAACAGGAUUAGAUACCCUGGUAGUCCACGCCGUAAACGAUGAGUGCUAGGUGUUGGGUCCUUUCCGGGACUCAGUGCCGCAGCUAACGCAUUAAGCACUCCGCCUGGGGAGUACGACCGCAAGGUUG